UAACUCUGGUGUCUCCCCAAUGGUGGAUAAAUCUUUCUCCUUUUACUAAAGAUUUCCGUGUUGAGGUGCAAUACAAUGAGUCUUAUCGCAUUUUAUUCUGCUCUGUCUUCGGACAGAGU
Molecule: small nuclear RNA, 119 nt
Filed under: Trichobilharzia regenti
Lineage: Eukaryota; Metazoa; Platyhelminthes; Trematoda; Strigeidida; Schistosomatidae
Description: U5 spliceosomal RNA
Rfam family: U5 spliceosomal RNA
About the family: U5 RNA is a component of both types of known spliceosome. The precise function of this molecule is unknown, though it is known that the 5' loop is required for splice site selection and p220 binding, and that both the 3' stem-loop and the Sm site are important for Sm protein binding and cap methylation.
Source: Rfam by way of RNAcentral